AUACCAUCUAUGUUGUAUUUUUUUGGCUAAGAUCAAGUGUAGUAUCUGUUCUUAUCAGUUUAAUAUUUAUUCAAUUUAUAUACUGCUCUUCAUCCGAAGAUCUCAGGGCAGUUCAUAAUUGGGUUCGUUUGCAUUUUUAAUGUCAGUCAGUCAGUCAAG
Molecule: non-coding RNA, 159 nt
Organism: Podarcis lilfordi (Lilford's wall lizard)
Lineage: Eukaryota; Metazoa; Chordata; Lepidosauria; Squamata; Lacertidae
Source: the annotation of a GenBank genome assembly